Molecule: ribosomal RNA, 440 nt
Filed under: uncultured bacterium
Lineage: Bacteria
Description: partial 16S ribosomal RNA
Rfam family: Bacterial small subunit ribosomal RNA
Source: RNAcentral
CCUACGGGAGGCAGCAGUGGGGAAUAUUGCACAAUGGGGGAAACCCUGAUGCAGCGACGCCGCGUGAGUGAAGAAGUAUUUCGGUAUGUAAAGCUCUAUCCUCAGGGACGAAAAUGACGAUACCUGCGUAAGAAGACGCGGCUACCUACGUGCCAGCAGCCGCGGUAAUAAGUAGGGGGCAAGCGUUAUCCGGCUUUACUGGGGGUAAAGGGAGCGUAGACGGCAGUGCAAGUCUGGAGUGAAAGGCGGGGGCUCAACCCCCGGACUGCUCUGGAAAAUGUACGGCUGGAGUGCAGGAGAGGUAAGUGGAAUUCCGAGUGUAGCGGUGAAAUGCGUAGAUAUCGCGCAGAACCCCGAUGGCGAAGGCAGCGUGCCGUGCCGCCACUGACGCUGAGGCACGAAAGCGCGGGGAGCGAACAGGAUUAGAUACCCGGGUAGUC